RNAcentral lists this ribosomal RNA (483 nucleotides) under uncultured bacterium. Its description in RNAcentral is "partial 16S ribosomal RNA". It matches the Rfam family "Bacterial small subunit ribosomal RNA", at positions 28 to 507 of the family's 1533-position model. The record is from RNAcentral.
GAUGAACGCUGGCGGCGUGCUUAACACAUGCAAGUCGAACGCUGAAGCUCAGAUUUUGUUGGGCGGAUGAGUGGCGAACGGGUGAGUAACACGUGAGUAACCUGCCCCCUUCUUUGGGAUAACGCCCGGAAACGGGUGCUAAUACUGGAUAUUCACUGGUCUUCGCAUGGGGGUUGGUGGAAAGGGCUUUUUUGGUGGGGGAUGGGCUCGCGGCCUAUCCGCUUGUUGGUGGGGUGAUGGUCUACCGAGGCGUUGACGGGUAGACGGCCUGAGAGGGUGAGCGGGCACAGAGGCACUGAGAUGCGGCCCAGGGGCGGACGCGGUGGAGAAGUGGGGACUAUGGCACAAUGCGCGCAGGCCUAAUGCAGCGACGCCGCGGAAGGGAUGGAGGCCUUCGAAUUGUGAACCUCGGGCGCUCAAGAUCAGGCCGUAACAAUGGUUGUGGUGAGGGUAGUUGAUAAAGAAGCGACGGCUAACUACGUG